AUACAGAGGGUGCAAGCGUUAAUCGGAAUUACUGGGCGUAAAGCGCGCGGAGGUGGUUAGUUAAGUUGGAUGUGAAAGCCCUGGGCUCAACCUGGGAAUGGCAUUCAAAACUGGCUGACUAGAGUAUGGUAGAGGGAAGGGGAAUUCCAGGUGUAGCGGUGAAAUGCGUAGAUAUCUGGAGGAACAUCAGUGGCGAAGGCGCCUUCCUGGACUAAUACUGACACUGAGGUGCGAAAGCGUGGGUAGCAAACAGGAUUAGAAACCCUAGUAGUCC
RNAcentral lists this ribosomal RNA (274 nucleotides) under uncultured bacterium. Its description in RNAcentral is "partial 16S ribosomal RNA". It matches the Rfam family "Bacterial small subunit ribosomal RNA", at positions 523 to 796 of the family's 1533-position model. The record is from RNAcentral.